CCCGUUGAGCUACUCCAGCAUUUUGUGUCUCUUUUAUAAUAAAUUGCAUUAUGGGCAAUCAGCAGAAAACCUCUCAAAAACUAACAUUUAGUAUUAUAUUGAAAAUAACCACUUAAGUAUCACACGCAAGUGAAAAAGGGGGGUUGAAUGUAUAAGUGAGAGUUUAUCAUCGAGGAAAGCUGAAUUAUUAAACAAAAUAAAUCCCUAAAGCAAUGCUGCAAUAAAUAGAUCAGCAAAUAUAUUUGACAUUCUAAUUGGGUAGCUUUGUUAUUUUUCAAGAUGCAUAAAUGAAUUGAAAUCUUGGCCAUUAUUUUGUAGAUGCUGACAAAAGUUCAAAUGGUGCUGUAAAAAUUGUUUUCAGUUGUAAUUACAGAAGAUCAUAAGAUGGCACAUAAUGAGGCUCUUCUGGUGUUAAUGCUGUCAAAAUCGACUUUUAAGAAAUUAGAUGGUAGACUUAAAACUAGGUUAAAAGUUUUUGAAGGUUACUACAAACAGAAUUAAUAUCAGAAAUAUCAAGGUCUAACUCCUGAAAUUCAAAAUAACCAAAGACUGGGAGCUCUUUGUUAAAAUAAGCAGUCAUUCUACAUUGUGGACAAGCAAAGUUAUACGUGAGCAACUUAAUGGAUGGUGCAGUCAUCUCAGUAAGAUGAAUUAUCUGCACAUCAACAAAUCACAUGCGAUAUUAUAUAAUCAUUUUGGCAAGUACUUUUAAAAAUUGGUAUUUUGCUUUUACAUUGAACUAAAGUAAUGUCAUGGUUAAUACUGCAUACUCAAAAUUCUUUGGAUAUUAGAAAUGUAAAUAAUGCUGCCAAUUUCCAAAUUCAGAUACAGAUGAUGCAGAGUGACCACAAGAAGAAUGCAACCAAUGAACAAAGAUCCUAGUUCAUCAAAUUAAUAUGCAAAUGUACUAAAGUGAUGCACAGAGCCUUUUACCCAAAAUAGGGGAAUCAAGAACCAGAGGUUAUAGG
Molecule: long non-coding RNA, 968 nt
Organism: Amblyraja radiata (thorny skate)
Lineage: Eukaryota; Metazoa; Chordata; Chondrichthyes; Rajiformes; Rajidae
Exons: 3
Source: RefSeq, a predicted model, not a curated record